This 820-nucleotide ribosomal RNA is filed under the name uncultured bacterium. Its description in RNAcentral is "bacterial SSU rRNA". It matches the Rfam family "Bacterial small subunit ribosomal RNA", at positions 36 to 852 of the family's 1533-position model. The record is from RNAcentral.
CUAUUCCGGGGGCCCAACCAUGCAAGUCGAACGGUAACAGGAAGUGCUUGCACUUCGCUGACGAGUGGCGGACGGGUGAGUAAUGCUUGGGAACUUGCCUUUGCGAGGGGGAUAACCAUUGGAAACGAUGGCUAAUACCGCAUAAUGUCUUCGGACCAAAGUGGGCUUUUAGCUCACGCGCAAAGAGAGGCCCAAGUGAGAUUAGCUAGUUGGUAAGGUAAAGGCUUACCAAGGCGACGAUCUCUAGCUGUUCUGAGAGGAAGAUCAGCCACACUGGGACUGAGACACGGCCCAGACUCCUACGGGAGGCAGCAGUGGGGAAUAUUGCACAAUGGGGGGAACCCUGAUGCAGCCAUGCCGCGUGUGUGAAGAAGGCCUUCGGGUUGUAAAGCACUUUCAGUGGUGAGGAAAAGUUAGUAGUUAAUACCUGCUAACCGUGACGUUAACCACAGAAGAAGCACCGGCUAACUCCGUGCCAGCAGCCGCGGUAAUACGGAGGGUGCGAGCGUUAAUCGGAAUUACUGGGCGUAAAGCGCACGCAGGCGGCUUGUUAAGCUAGAUGUGAAAGCCCCGCGCUUAACGUGGGAUGGUCAUUUAGAACUGGCAGACUAGAGUCUUGGAGAGGGGAGUGGAAUUUCUGGUGUAGCGGUGAAAUGCGUAGAGAUCAGAAGGAACAUCAAUGGCGAAGGCAGCUCUCUGGCCAAAGACUGACGCUCAUGUGCGAAAGUGUGGGUAGCGAACAGGAUUAGAUACCCUGGUAGUCCACACCGUAAACGCUGUCUACUAGCUGUAUGUGUAUUUUAUACGUGUGUAGCCGAAG